RNAcentral lists this long non-coding RNA (1801 nucleotides) under Cinara cedri. Lineage: Eukaryota; Metazoa; Arthropoda; Insecta; Hemiptera; Aphididae. The record is from RNAcentral.
AGUGGUUCUUAUCCACGUGAAAUGAUUUUCACUAACAAUUUUUUUAGCAUUCCAUUUCCUCGUGAAUUUAAAUUUAAAUUUAAAUCCAGUAAAAUAAUUGUUUUUGGUCCAAUAAAUUGUUUAAAAUGUAUAUUUUAUUUAUUCUAACAUGGUUGUAUCUUAUAAUACGAUUCUGAAUUCAAUAUAUCUAUAGUAUGUAUUACCGAGUUUCUAGAUUCUAAAUACUUAUUUUAAAUCAUAUUACCCAUAGGCUCCUGAAAGGAGGACCAACAGAGUUAUUCCUCCUCUCCCUGAUGACAGAUCAAUAACUACAUUAAAAAUUAAAAAUAAUUUUUGAGAUUUUCGAAAAAUUAAAUUUUAUGGUUAAAUUAUGUACAAAUUCAAAUAUAAUUUUUUUAAAUUUUUAAGUAUAAUAAAAGACGAUAUUUUUACAUACUUAGAUUUUUCACAAUAUCCUGUAAUGAUACCAACUUUGGUUUCUGAAAUGAAAACCUACACAUUUUAAUGCAAAUUAUCAAUCAAAUGAUAUUUCUGGAAAUGAUGAUAUAUUUUUGAAAUCGAAAUUUUAAUAAAAAGUUGUUGAGUUAUUCUUCUUUAAGUACUGAAAAUAAUGGACUUUUAUUGGGUUUGAAUAAGCAAUUUUUUGUUUUAAAUCAUUUAUCAAAAAUCUGAUUCUAUGAUAUUAUUUGCAUUAAAACAUGUAAGUUCUCAAUUUAAAAACUAAAGUUGGUGUUGCCACAGGAUACACCUUAAAUACUGUGAAAAAUCUAAGUAUUCUAAAAUAUUGUCUUUCAGUAUACACACAAAAUCCAAAAAUCAGAAUUUAGAAUGUAUACAUAAUUUAACCACAAAAAUAAUGUGAACAUGCUUAAAACCUAGUCCUCUAUUCCUCUAUAUGCACGUAUAAAAACUGUAAUUAAUGUGUGAAUAUUAAUGUAUCGAGUACUGAGUAUUCAAAUAAAUAACAAUUAAAAUAUAAAUAUCGAGUAUCUUGUACUGCAAUAUUUGUUACAUAAAUAUUAUCUAUAACCGAGUAUUUAAAAUACUUUCAUUUUAAAAAUCUCGCCCAUCCCUGCAGACACCAUUCAACCACCAUUAUGAACUGCGUAUUAUUACAUGUAUACAAUUCUCACAUUUAAACAUUUCGUUUUUGCCGUAGGUGUGCACUCAAUAGUUCGGUCCGAAACGAGCUUGGUCUACAAACAAAAUGGGACGGAAGUUUGGUGACAUAGCUGACCUGGAUAGUCUCAUCUCACCCGUGUACGCGCUGAGCACAUCAGACGACGUCGGCUGGUUGGGCUACAAAGCGGUGCCCAUCGUCGAACCGAAACCCCGAUCAACGUUUUUCCUAAUUGAUAUUGGCAUCAGUACCAAAACGAUCGACGCCACGUUACACGUACUCGUUAUAUUUCUUGUGUUAUUCAUCAUUAUCAACUGUAUGUGUAAAUUCGUGUGGAUAUUUUUAAAAUAACCAAUUUUAUUUAUGAUUUUUUUUUUUUGUGUUACGUUCAUGUAAUUAUAGACAAUAGACAUAUUAUAAUAAGUAUAUAGAGAAGCGAAAGUUUAUUUGCUUAAUAAUAACUUGUUAUUUUUUUUAAAUGUGUCUGUUUAAUUUAUGUUUAACUUGAAAUGUAAUUAUUGUCCUAUAUAUAUUUAUCAACUAUAUAUUAUUAAGUAUUUAUUAAUUAUUUAUAGUCAUAUUGUCACAUACAUAUAAUAUAGUCGCACUAUUUAAUAUUUUGUAAAAAGAAAAUUGAAUUAAUUCUGUGUAAUACUGUUAAUAUAUGCACAAACAAAAAAA